Molecule: ribosomal RNA, 412 nt
Filed under: uncultured bacterium
Lineage: Bacteria
Description: bacterial SSU rRNA
Rfam family: Bacterial small subunit ribosomal RNA
Source: RNAcentral
UAAGGAAUAUUGGUCAAUGGACGCAAGUCUGAACCAGCCAUGCCGCGUGAAGGAUGAAGGUCCUCUGGAUUGUAAACUUCUUUUAUCUGGGACGAAAACGGGAUUUUUAUCUCAAUUGACGGUACCAGAGGAAUAAGCACCGGCUAACUCCGUGCCAGCAGCCGCGGUAAUACGGAGGGUGCGAGCGUUAUCAGGAUUUAUUGGGUUUAAAGGGUCCGUAGGCGGGCCUGUAAGUCAGUGGUGAAAUCUCAUAGCUUAACUAUGAAACUGCCAUUGAUACUGCAGGCCUUGAGUAAAUUUGAAGUAGCUGGAAUAAGCAGUGUAGCGGUGAAAUGCAUAGAUAUUACUUAGAACGCCGAUUGCGAAGGCAGGUCACUAAGAUUUAACUGACGCUGAUGGACGAAAGCGUGGG